GACGAACGUUGGCGGCGUGCUUAACACAUGCAAGUCGAACGGAAAGGCCCUGCUUUUGUGGGGUGCUCGAGUGGCGAACGGGUGAGUAACACGUGAGUAACCUGCCCUUGACUUUGGGAUAACUUCAGGAAACUGGGGCUAAUACCGGAUAGGAGCUCCUGCUGCAUGGUGGGGGUUGGAAAGUUUCGGCGGUUGGGGAUGGACUCGCGGCUUAUCAGCUUGUUGGUGGGGUAGUGGCUUACCAAGGCUUUGACGGGUAGCCGGCCUGAGAGGGUGACCGGCCACAUUGGGACUGAGAUACGGCCCAGACUCCUACGGGAGGCAGCAGUGGGGAAUAUUGCACAAUGGGCGGAAGCCUGAUGCAGCAACGCCGCGUGCGGGAUGACGGCCUUCGGGUUGUAAACCGCUUUCGCCUGUGACGAAGCGUGAGUGACGGUAAUGGGUAAAGAAGCACCGGCUAACUACGUGCCAGCAGCCGCGGUGAUACGUAGGGUGCGAGCGUUGUCCGGAUUUAUUGGGCGUAAAGGGCUCGUAGGUGGUUGAUCGCGUCGGAAGUGUAAUCUUGGGGCUUAACCCUGAGCGUGCUUUCGAUACGGGUUGACUUGAGGAAGGUAGGGGAGAAUGGAAUUCCUGGUGGAGCGGUGGAAUGCGCAGAUAUCAGGAGGAACACCAGUGGCGAAGGCGGUUCUCUGGGCCUUUCCUGACGCUGAGGAGCGAAAGCGUGGGGAGCGAACAGGCUUAGAUACCCUGGUAGUCCACGCUGUAAACGGUGGGUACUAGGUGUGGGGUCCAUUCCACGGGUUCCGUGCCGUAGCUAACGCUUUAAGUACCCCGCCUGGGGAGUACGGCCGCAAGGCUAAAACUCAAAGGAAUUGACGGGGCCCCGCACAAGCGGCGGAGCAUGCGGAUUAAUUCGAUGCAACGCGUAGAACCUUACCUGGGUUUGACAUGGAUCGGGAGUGCUCAGAGAUGGGUGUGCCUCUUUUGGGGUCGGUUCACAGGUGGUGCAUGCCUGUCGUCAGCUCGUGUCGUGAGAUGUUGGGUUAAGUCCCGCAACGAGCGCAACCCUUGUUCACUGUUGCCAGCACGUUAUGGUGGGGACUCAGUGGAGACCGCCGGGGUCAACUCGGAGGAAGGUGGGGAUGACGUCAAGUCCUCAUGCCCCUUAUGUCCAGGGCUUCACGCAUGCUACAAUGGCUGGUACAGAGAGUGGCGAGCCUGUGAGGGUGAGCGAAUCUCGGAAAGCCGGUCUCAGUUCGGAUUGGGGUCUGCAACUCGACCUCACGAAGUCGGAGUCGCUAGUAAUCGCAAAUCAGCAACGCUGCGGUGAAUACGUUCCCGGG
RNAcentral lists this ribosomal RNA (1343 nucleotides) under uncultured bacterium. RNAcentral describes it as "16S ribosomal RNA". It matches the Rfam family "Bacterial small subunit ribosomal RNA", at positions 28 to 1378 of the family's 1533-position model. The record is from RNAcentral.